This 434-nucleotide ribosomal RNA is filed under the name uncultured Lachnospiraceae bacterium. RNAcentral describes it as "bacterial SSU rRNA". It matches the Rfam family "Bacterial small subunit ribosomal RNA", at positions 341 to 792 of the family's 1533-position model. The record is from RNAcentral. Lineage: Bacteria; Bacillati; Bacillota; Clostridia; Lachnospirales; Lachnospiraceae.
ACGGGAGGCAGCAGUGGGGAAUAUUGCACAAUGGAGGAAACUCUGAUGCAGCGACGCCGCGUGAGUGAAGAAGUAUUUCGGUAUGUAAAGCUCUAUCAGCAGGGAAGAGAAUGGCGGUACCUGACUAAGAAGCACCGGCUAAAUACGUGCCAGCAGCCGCGGUAAUACGUAUGGUGCAAGCGUUAUCCGGAUUUACUGGGUGUAAAGGGAGCGCAGGUGGCCUGGCAAGCCAGAAGUGAAAGCCCGGGGCUUAACCCCGGGACUGCUUUUGGAACUGUUGGGCUGGAGUGCAGGAGGGGUAAGCGGAAUUCCUAGUGUAGCGGUGAAAUGCGUAGAUAUUAGGAGGAACACCAGAGGCGAAGGCGGCUUACUGGACUGUAACUGACGCUGAGGCUCGAAAGCGUGGGGAGCAAACAGGAUUAGAUACCCUGGUA